Molecule: long non-coding RNA, 700 nt
Organism: Bubalus bubalis (water buffalo)
Lineage: Eukaryota; Metazoa; Chordata; Mammalia; Artiodactyla; Bovidae
Exons: 3
Source: RefSeq, a predicted model, not a curated record
CCUUAGCUCAGAACUACUCCAUCAGAAUUUCCAGGGAGAGGCCAGAAAAUCCAGGUAAUUUAACAAGUGCCCUAAGCUUCUAGAGGCUUCCUCCAGUUAGAAAGCCAGCACCAGAAAUCUUCAGAUCUCCUCGCCUUCCUCCACUCACUCCUUCUUAUAAGGACCCCUGUUUCUAUUGGACCCACCCACACAGCCUUGGAUAAUUGCCUCAACAGCUGUAACUGAAUCACAGGUGUAGUCUAUCUGGCUAUAUAAGCGCUUCCUCCUCACUCCUGCCAUGCCCGCCACCCCUGCUUCUUAACACGUGGAGCUCUGUGGAGAAGGAGGACCACGUCACCUCAUUGUGAUGCCUUACCUCUCACGACUCUCUUACCGCUACCCCAGCCUGCCUCCCGUGAGUGUUUUCUGAGCUGCGGAGCUGCCCACAAGGAACAACAGAUCUGAACAACCAGGACGAUUCCACAGGAGGUCUGAGAAGCGUUCCAUAGGGAAAUUUUCGUCUUGCAGCCUCCAUUGUGAACUGGCUCAACGGAGCAGGAAAACACCACAGUGAGGGACUCUAGGGGAAAUGGCCUUUUGUGAAAGUGGAAAGAUCUAGGUGGAGACUUUCCAAUUUAAAGAUAUUCAAUGAUGCAGUUAUUAUAAGUUCAAUAUCUGAAUUUUUAGACACCAAGGAUCCCCGAAGUAAACAGAACAUGCU